RNAcentral lists this ribosomal RNA (301 nucleotides) under uncultured bacterium. Its description in RNAcentral is "partial 16S ribosomal RNA". It matches the Rfam family "Bacterial small subunit ribosomal RNA", at positions 509 to 808 of the family's 1533-position model. The record is from RNAcentral.
CAGUCGCCGCGGUAAUUCGUAGGUCCCGAGCGUUGUCCGGAUUUAUUGGGCGUAAAGGGAGCGCAGGCGGUUUGAUAAGUCUGAAGUUAAGGGCUGUGGCUCAACCAUAGUUCGCUUUGGAAACUGUCAAACUUGAGUGCAGAAGGGGAGAGUGGAAUUCCAUGUGUAGCGGUGAAAUGCGUAGAUAUAUGGAGGAACACUGGUGGCGAAAGCGGCUCUCUGGUCUGUAUCUGACGCUGAGGCUCGAAAGCGUGGGGAGCGAACAGGAUUAGAUACCCCCGUAGUCCCUGUCUCUUAUACA